UGUUAGAAGGAAUGAAAUUGGAAAGA
RNAcentral lists this non-coding RNA (26 nucleotides) under Mus musculus (house mouse). The record is from RNAcentral. Lineage: Eukaryota; Metazoa; Chordata; Mammalia; Rodentia; Muridae. RNAcentral also lists the same sequence under 1 other name.